Molecule: non-coding RNA, 1344 nt
Organism: Anguilla anguilla (European eel)
Lineage: Eukaryota; Metazoa; Chordata; Actinopteri; Anguilliformes; Anguillidae
Source: the annotation of a RefSeq genome assembly
CUCUCUGCACUGAGGGAGGAGGGACUGCUGUUGGAGGCUGACUGUAGGACCAUCAUCACAGACUGCAGUCAACGACUUUCAACAUGACUGUUAUAACCAGCCUGCUUCUGAUUACAGUGUUCUUAAAAAGUGUUAAAUGUCAGACUCUGACUGAGUCACAACCAGCAGUUAAAAAGCCUGGAGAAUCCCACAAACUGACCUGCACAGCCUCUGGGUUCACAUUCAGCAGCGAUGGAAUGAAUUGGAUCAGACAGGCUCCUGGGAAUGGACUGGAGUGGGUUGCCUACAUUGGCACAUCUAGUUCACCCAUCUACUAUUCCAAAUCAGUUGAGGGAAGAUUCAUUAUAUCCAGAGAUGACUCCAACAGCAAGCUGUACCUGCAGAUGAACAGGCUGACAGCUGAAGACUCUGCUGUGUAUUACUGUGCCAGAGACCCACAGUGAGAGAAGUCAAGCCUGAGCCCUGACAAUAACUCUCUACAUGAAACUGUCACCACAGCAGACUUCAGGGAAUUCAUAUUUUUAAUGCCCCUGCAGAGAGUCUGAAUAUUGAAAGUCAACUUGCUAUUUUUAUCUCUGUAAGGGAGAGACAUUAUUUAUUUUGAUAGUUAAUGUACAUUUCAUUUAAUAUUUUGUUUUGAACUGAACAUUUACUCUAUGGAUAAUGCACACUCUUCACUGACUUAAAGAAAUAAACAGCACAGUGAUAAACAGUUGAAGAAAGCACUGGAACAGUGUAUGAUGUUGUUACAUGAGAGACGUUCCUCAACAGGUCCAAUCUAACAUUUCUAUGUGCGACAUAUUAUAUUUGUAUUUACUCCUAACUAAUAACAGCCAAUGCGCUGUCAUAUUUGUUUAAUCUAUAGUAGCUUAAUGAAUACCAAGUACUUCAGCCCUCAGUCUCCUCAUCUUAUGAGCUGAACUCUCUCUAAAACAUUCACAUACAAAGACUGUGACUGAUUUCAUAGCUUUAAUGUCAUUUCCUGUGUAAUUUGUGUCUGCAGUUUACAUUAAAUUGUAUUAAGCUGUUGUGUUCCUUCUAAAGGUGCGAUUAAUAGUAAUUCAGUUAUGCAUAAUAAAUCUGUGAUCCGUUUGUAUUAUACCUUAUUGGUAAAUUUUAGAGACAUGUAAAGUUACUUAUUAUCAUUGAGGUAAAAGAGUACAGUAAGAGUGCAGAUUUUGUAUAGAGUACAGUUCAGUACCAUUUCUCUACAUGUAAAUUAGCACAUAGUCCAUCCAUCCCAUUAGCAUUAUAAAUUAGUUUACGCAAACAGCAGUUCCAGAUCCAAUGCUAGUGUUCUUGUCAUACCUGUAAUGCAUUAAUAAAACAAACUACAUAAACAGA